This 1524-nucleotide ribosomal RNA is filed under the name gut metagenome. RNAcentral describes it as "bacterial LSU rRNA". It matches the Rfam family "Bacterial large subunit ribosomal RNA", at positions 808 to 2358 of the family's 2925-position model. The record is from RNAcentral.
GGUGUGGGUAGGGGAGAAAUUCCAAUCGAACCCGGAGAUAGCUGGUUCUCCUCGAAAUAGCUUUAGGGCUAGCCUCGUGUUAACCUUGUGGAGGUAGAGCACUGAAUAUCCUAGGGGGCGUCAAAGUCUACCGAAGAUUAUCAAACUCCGAAUGCCAUAGAGGUGAUGCACGGGAGUCAGACUGCACGAGAUAAGUUGGGUGGUCAAAAGGGAAAGAGCCCAGACCUACAGCUAAGGUCCCAAAGUGCGUGUUAAGUGGAAAAGGAUGUGGGAUUUCGAAGACAACUAGGAUGUUGGCUCAGAAGCAGCCAUACAUUCAAAGAGUGCGUAAUAGCUCACUAGUCGAGAGGUCCUGCGCCGAAAAUGUCCGGGGCUGAAACACGACACCGAAGCUUAGGACUCCUUUUAGGAGUGGUAGAGGAGCAUUGUUAGCGCAGCGAAGCUGUACCGAUAAGGAGCAGUGGAGUGCUAAGAAGAGAGAAUGCCGGAAUGAGUAGCGAGAGGAAGGUGAGAAUCCUUCCGGCCGAAUAUCCAAGGUUUCCAGAGUAAAGCUGAUCUGCUCUGGGUAAGUCGGGGCCUAAGGCGAGGUCGAAAGACGUAGUCGAUGGAUAACAGGUGGAGAUUCCUGUACUAUGUGUACCCAGAACUGUGGGGACGCAUGUGGAGAGCAUGAGCCGGGAAAGAGAAAACCGGUACAAGCGGGGUAGGAGUAAGGACAGCAAAUCUUCCUUACAAUCCGAAGACGUGAUGUGGACCGAACCAAAGUAGGGAAGCAUGUGAGCCAUGUGCCAAGAAAAGCCGCUAUUGUGAUACACAUACCCGUACCGUAAACCGACACAGGUGGAUGAGGAGAGAAUCCUAAGGCCGACGGAAGAAGCAUUGUUAAGGAACUCGGCAAAAUGACCCCGUAACUUCGGGAGAAGGGGUGCCCUGUGAAAGCAGGGCCGCAGAGAAUAGGCUCAAGCAACUGUUUAGCAAAAACACAGGUCUAUGCGAAACCGAAAGGUGAGGUAUAUGGGCUGACGCCUGCCCGGUGCUGGAAGGUUAAGAGGAGAAGUCAGGCAACGAAGCUUCGAAUUUAAGCCCCAGUAAACGGCGGCCGUAACUAUAACGGUCCUAAGGUAGCGAAAUUCCUUGUCGGGUAAGUUCCGACCCGCACGAAAGGCGUAAUGAUUUGAGCACUGUCUCGACAAUGCAUCCGGUGAAAUUGAAGUACCAGUGAAGAUGCUGGUUACCUGCGCCAGGACGGAAAGACCCCAUGGAGCUUUACUCCAGCUUGAUACUGGGAUUCGAUACUGUAUGUACAGGAUAGGUGGGAGACGUUGAACAUAGAACGCCAGUUUUAUGUGAGUCGCUGUUGGGAUACCACCCUUGCAGUAUUGGAUUUCUAACCUGCACCCAUGACCUGGGUGGGGGACAAUGUCUGGCGGGGAGUUUGACUGGGGCGGUCGCCUCCGAAAGGGUAUCGGAGGCGCUCAAAGGUUCCCUCAGAAUGGUUGGAAACCAUUCGAAGAGUGCAAAGGC